CCUACGGGAGGCAGCAGUGGGGAAUAUUGCACAAUGGGGGAAACCCUGAUGCAGCGACGCCGCGUGAGCGAUGACGUAUUUCGGUAUGUAAAGCUCUAUCAGCAGGGAAGAAAAUGACGGUACCUGACUAAGAAGCUCCGGCUAACUACGUGCCAGCAGCCGCGGUACUACGGAGGGGGCCAGCGUUAUCCGGAUUUACUGGGUGUAAGGGGAGCGUAGACGGUCCUGCAAGCCAGUUGUGAAAGCCCGGGGCUCAACCCCGGAACUGCAUUUGAAACUGUAAGGCUAGAGUGCAGGAGAGGUAGGCGGAAUUCCUAGUGUAGCGGUGAAAUGCGUAGAUAUUAGGAGGAACACCGGUGGCGAAGGCGGCCUACUGGACGGUGACUGACGUUGAGGCUCGAAAGCGUGGGGAGCAAACAGGAUUAGAUACCCCAGUAGUC
RNAcentral lists this ribosomal RNA (440 nucleotides) under uncultured bacterium. Its description in RNAcentral is "partial 16S ribosomal RNA". It matches the Rfam family "Bacterial small subunit ribosomal RNA", at positions 338 to 795 of the family's 1533-position model. The record is from RNAcentral.